Molecule: transfer RNA, 77 nt
Filed under: Caldithrix sp.
Lineage: Bacteria; Pseudomonadati; Calditrichota; Calditrichia; Calditrichales; Calditrichaceae
Description: tRNA-Arg
Rfam family: tRNA
About the family: Transfer RNA (tRNA) molecules are approximately 80 nucleotides in length.
Source: RNAcentral
GCCCCGUUAGCUCAGGUGGAUAGAGCGCAAGAUUCCUAAUCUUGGUGCCGCAGGUUCGAGUCCUGCACGGGGCACCA